UAAAGUCCAAAGUCUGCAAACAGAAACCACAUAGUUUAAAAUUCCAUUAUUAAAAAUCCAUUAAAUAAACCAUCCGAGAGGCUCCACCGAAUGCUAAAUCCAAGCCUUAUGUUCGAGUAUUACCUGAAAGGUUAUAACAUUAAAGGGGUCAACUUUUAAAGCAUAGUGUGGGUCUUUUAACAAAUAAAUGUAAAUAAACACAUAAUCAUCAACCAAGUAAAUAUUUCACUUUAUACACAUGAUCAUCGCGAUGUUGUUUUGUAAAACAUUUAUGCAAAUUUAUUUAAAACAUCCUACCUAUCGCCGCUACACACCACAACCGAGUUCCUCAGAACUCGUCCAUCCAAACACUCCAAUUUGUGAAUAGUGUCACAGUAAUGCAGAUAAACUACCACUUAAUAAUAUUGUGGACAAGCCACCACUUUUGCAGAUAAAUUACCAUAUCUUCCUCCUUUUACAUAUCCCACCUCAUGUAUGUGAUAUGGCCACAAAAAUCACUUUUUCAUUUUAAUCAAUUUUUCACAUUAGCAUGUGAGACAUGCUCAUUAUAUCACUUAUCACUUAAAAUCACAUAGGCAUGCUUAACAUGCUAAUCACAUAUUUACACAAUAUAGAUAUCAAUAUUUCACAUUUUAUAAAUCAUGCAAAACUCACACAUGCCGUAAUAUCACAUAACAUGAGAAUACCCAUCAUACAAAUCACAAAAACAACGAUUUAGUUUCACUUACUUGGAUAUUCCAAUUCAAUGGGUUUUUAUUCCUCUUUUAAAAAAUAUAUAGUUUUAUUGAUAAGCAUCAUUUAAUAACACUAAUAAAAUUUUAACAACAUGAAACAUAUUUUCAUUUUUUUAAUUAAUGUGGAAACCACACCUGAUUCUAGAUCCUACGUAUUACAACUCUCUAAAAUACCUACACUUGGAUCUAUCCAAUGGAUCACAUAGUUACACAAAUGAUAAUCCUUCGUUAAAGUUUACCAUGAUCAUCAUAAGAGAUAAGUUUAUUAAACGAAUCUCCCAUUUGACACUUUUUAUUAAACUUGUGAAUUAAGAAUCAUGAUUCCUUUCACGAGUUUGAUGAUUUUUUGUGUCGAUGUUGAUCGACCCUUCAAAAAGACAUCAUAACUAAAAGUUAAUAAACGAGGGAAAAAUUCACCAUAACUCUUAUGAAUAGUUGAUCAAGAGGGAAACAAUGAGGAAUGAGUGGUUCUCAUUCAACCCUUGUACUUACUCUAUCUCGAUCAAAAAGGAGAGAUCAGUGGAUCGUCUUGAUUUUGAUCUGGGAAAAUUGAAUUAUCUAAAAAAGGGGUUGAUUAAAAGUAAAUUUAUAAAACAAAGACUUAAAAUUUAAGAAACUAAGAGAAAUAAAUAGUGAAUAAUUUUAUUUAAUAAAAGAAAUUAUGUAGGUUGAAAAAUGAUGAACAAAAAGAGAGGAAACACAAUCGUCGACGGUGGUACUAUGGUGGCGACAGCGGUGGUCUGGUGAUGGAGGUAGUAGUUCUUAUCCUACUACAACAAAGCACUUAGAAGGCUAACCAACAUUCAAAAAGAUUAUGAAUUUAGGAGCAAUCCCUUAUGAGAUGCAAUGUUCUCCUUUAAUCAGAAACUGUGUGGUUAGGGACCCAAAAUUCUAGAUGAUGGACCUACCUUAGAGAGAGUAGCCAUUGAAUUCCCAAAACCAUAUCACAUCUUUUCAAAGGUAGAAUCAUGAAGUCAUUGAUGAAUUUAAAGCCUUGAUCUUCCCAGUGGACUAAUUUGCAUGUUCUUCUAGUGAAUAAACACCCUCCGUUAGCCAUUGUCACUUUCAAUUGAUAUUAUUGUUGCACGGGUAAAGAGAACUUGCCUACCAAGUUAGCAUUACUGAAAUUGUGUGUGCUACCCAAGUUCACCAAUAUAAUGGCCCACACAGAGCCAAUCCCUGUUGUAAUGCGCAUUGUGCUAUAGUCUUGUGAACCUUGAAUGGUAUGUGAGGAUAGGAUAGGUGAUAAAGGUAAAAUCUAUUUCAGGGGAGUGUCUUCUAGUUGUUCGACAUAUUCUUGGAAAUAUUCCUCUUCCCCAUCAAACUGUGGCUUUAACAAAAACUGAUACAAUUGUGAUUUACUCACUUGUAGCCCACAUGGUACUGAAUAGCACACUAGAAACACAACAUUUUCUACUUCCUCUCAACCAUUACAGUUGGUGUUAUGCCAUUGGAAAAUGCCUUAGAACCAGGACCAAUAGGUGUUGAGCUGGAAUAAGGUGAGAUGAUAGUCCUACCAGUAGUAGUAGAAUUGAAAGACACACUAAAAUGGCUAGACAUAACAGAUGGUACAGUGAAAGAUUGAGUAUAACUCCCAACAAUAGGAAAUAAAGUCCUAUUUUAAGAGUGCAUGUGAAUAGUCACCACUUAUCCAACAAUUUGAAAACCUUCAACAAAGGAUGUAGGUUUGAGCAAUUGGAGAUAUUGACCAAUCUCCACAUUCAGGUUGCUAAUGAAAAUACUAAAGGCAUAUAGCUCCGGUAGGUGCAACUAAUUCAAGAGAUUCACAAAUACAUCAUGAUACUAUUUAAAUGUCCUUUGUUGUGUUAGAGUAACCAAAUCAACCAUUGGAUCACAGAAUAAGCUAGCUUCAAAUCUCUCCUGCAAACUUCUAGCAUAACAAGGUCAAUUCAAUAUGUGAAGGCCUCCAUUUUCUUUGGGUGUAGAAAUGAUACUAGUCCAGCGCUCUCCCUCCAAGUGAAGCUUCACCGUGUGAACUUUAGCAUCAUCUAAGAUGCCCUUUACCUCAAAGAACUGCUCGAGCUUAGACCACUAAUCUCAAAAGUUAUUUUCAUCAAAUCUAGGACAAUUGAGCUAUGGAAUAUACUAGAACCAUCCAUUGAACUAGGAUGAGACUACAGAUGAACACUACUCAACUCUGAAAAAUAAUGAGUGCUUACUAUAGCAUGGACUUGACCUCUUAUGUAAACCUCUAGAGGAUUUUGAGGAGCGAAUCUAGGGGGUGCCCCCUAAAAUUCAUUUACUUUUGGCUUCUACAUUGUUGAGAGUAGGAUUGGGGUGCCCAACGUAUUGUCCAAACAAAGAGUAAAGCUUAGAACGUAAAUCGCCCUUGAAUUCGUCCUAAAACUCCUUGAAUUUGGUUUUUAGUUUGGUAUCGGCAAGUUCACCCCAGAUCUUAUAAAGCUCCCGCUACAACACACUAACCUCUUUCUACAAUCGAGUGGAAACGCCAUCGCUAGUCAUGGAGGAUCAUAAAAGGUUCGACACCUUUGAUGCAACUAGAAAAUUCAAAAGAGAAAUUUGACAGGGUAAAGAGAAAAUAGAGGAAAAGAGAAAAUCGAGAAAAAGGAAAUACUGAAAUUGCUCAACAAUUUGGAUAACUGCUUCUGGUGCAAAGGUGUGCUUAAAAAGA
This 3387-nucleotide long non-coding RNA is filed under the name Gossypium barbadense (sea-island cotton). RNAcentral describes it as "long non-coding RNA (GBAR_LNC004703)". The record is from RNAcentral. Lineage: Eukaryota; Viridiplantae; Streptophyta; Magnoliopsida; Malvales; Malvaceae.